AUCCUGAAUGAUAAUCGUGUCUUAAUAAUAAUAAAAGAAAGAAAAUAAGAGACAAGCAUCACGAUUUUCCCAAUUGAAAUGUCUUUUGGUUUUGCCUUUGGUGGCACAGGGUCAAGGGUGUGGGGGCAUUUGUGUGGCAUUCACUAUUCUUUCAACCUGUCCUGAUUAUGGAACCCUUUAAGGUCCGUCCACUUGGAACCACGGUGCUCUGAGAGGACGCUGAACUCACAGCAGCCCACACACAAUUCCAGUGAUACUACUGCAAUGUUUUGUACACAGAAUCUUAGGUUUGUUGGGUAAAUGUAGCAUCAUAUUUUGUUUUAGCAAUUUGUGAACAGUCUUGCUUCUCUUCACACUUAUAAGCUCAUCAGGCUAAGGAUUAAAUCGUAUGCACCCAAAUACCUCUUAGUAUACAAACGUCUGCACUCAGUAGCGUUUCUGGCUGAGCAGGUGGAAGAAGGGCCACGUUCGCCAAUGUCAUGAGGGGCCAGCAUCUUUAACCUUCACGCCCACAUCACCAGCCUUGCCUUCUUCACAACAGAAAUGUUGUCCCACUUCCUUUCCAGGUCUCUCAGAUUCAUGGUACGAGUUGGAAAGAGACCUGAGAGAUUAUUUAGGCUAAACGUUUCAUUUUAUAAAUGACAAAAUUAGGGUUGAGCAAAAUGUGGUGAUUUUGUCUGUGCAAAGCCAAGAAAAAAAAUUAGAGCCUCUUAAAAGUCAUUUUUCCCCUGAAAUAAAGUAUCUUCAUUUCACUGUUAAAUAUAUGUCCUCAUGUAGUUGCUAUAAUCAACCACUUCUCAAGAAAACUCUAAAAGCUGUAUUUCCCAUAUGACACAUUUCAGAAUAUUACAUAAGAAGCUCUCACCAAGACACCAAGGUAAAAUAUAUAUGACAAGCCAAAGACAGGUGCCAUAAAAAAAUAAGAAAUCUUCAAAGGGGAAAGAAAUUCCAAAAGUGGCAACAUGACACCACUCAUUCUCUGCCUACUUUCGAGGUAAGACGAUGUUGAAGUUCUGAGGGGGCUCAGUAAAUAACACCUCUCUUCCCCCUCCAGGUCCUGCACAAAUUGAAAACAUAAAAGGUAGCAGAUGGACUCAAAUGCCACCUUCAUGACUGAGGUGCCAAGCUGGAGGGCAGGAGUUGCCCUCUGGUCCUGGUUUAGGCUGACCUUCUGAACGGGGCCUGAGGGCAGGACCACACGGGCAGGGAUCAGAAAGGAGCUGGAGGAGAGCUCAGAAGGGAGGGCGGGCCCAGCUCUCUUGGCGGCCAAGGAAAAAGCCUGGCAUGUUAGAGCUGGUGCAGGACUCUCCAGGGUGACCGAGCCACCCAGAAGAGGGAAAAGCCAUUCUCCAUAACAAAAAGUCAGGACCGGCUGAAAGCCCCUCCCAGCCCUCCACCCUCCUUCGGCGGGGCUUCUUUCUGAGCUUUGCCCCAUCCCUGCCCCGUGCUGGUGACUGGUGUUUGGCUCCCUCCUAGAGAAAGAGAUGGGCCUGGGUUGGUUGAGAGAGAAAGAGAGAGAAAGGGAGAGACAGAGAGAAGGCUUAGCUCUUGUCCAACAGGGCCACCUAGAGGGACUCUCAGGCUUGAGCGGGAGAAGCAGAGUUUUGAGGCAGAGCUGAUCAAGGGAACCUCAACAAACAACCCCAGCCAUGGAGGCGGCGGUGUCUUUGAAGACCCCAUGAGAGCAUCAAACAAGGGAGAGAGCCUGGAACAAAUCAUGGUAGUAAAAUGGCGGCAGAGAGCUAGUAAUGUGUCUGCAAUUGGUGGGUUCUUGGUCGCACUGACUUCAAGAAUGAAGCCGCGGACCCUCACGGUGAGUGUUACAAUUCUUAAAAGUGGCGUGUCCGGAAUUUGUUCCUUCUGAUGUUCGGAGUUUCUUCCUUCUGGUGGGUUCGUGGUCUCGCUGGCUCAGGAGUGAAGCUGCAGACCUUCGCAGUGAGCGUUACAGCUCUUAAGGUGGUGUUUCUGGAGUUGUUCGUUCCUUCCGGUGGCUUCAUAGUCUCGCUGGCUCAGGAGUGAAGCUGCAGACCUUCGCAGUGAGCGUUACAGCUCUUAAGGUGGUGUUUCUGGAGUUGUUCGUUCCUUCCGGUGGCUUCAUAGUCUCGCUGGCUUCAGGAGUGAAGCUGCAGACCUUCCUGGUGAGUGUUACAGCUCUUAAGGCGGUGCGUCUGGAGUUGUUCGUUUCUCCCGGUGGGUUCGUGGUCUCGCUGGCUUUAAGAGUGAAGCUGCAGACCUUCACGGUGAAUGUUACAGCUCAUAAAGGCAGUGUGGACCUAAAGAGUGAGCAGCAGCAAGAUUUAUUGCAAAGAGAGGAAGAAUAAGGCUUCCACAGUGUGCA
Molecule: long non-coding RNA, 2338 nt
Filed under: Homo sapiens (human)
Lineage: Eukaryota; Metazoa; Chordata; Mammalia; Primates; Hominidae
Description: HSALNT0043376
Source: RNAcentral